GGCUCCAUAGUGUAGUGGUUAGCAGUCUGCUUUGCAAGCAGAAGGUCCUGGGUCUGCGCCCCAGGUGGAGCCA
Molecule: transfer RNA, 73 nt
Filed under: Pteropus alecto (black flying fox)
Lineage: Eukaryota; Metazoa; Chordata; Mammalia; Chiroptera; Pteropodidae
Also listed under: 1 other name
Rfam family: tRNA
About the family: Transfer RNA (tRNA) molecules are approximately 80 nucleotides in length. Their secondary structure includes four short double-helical elements and three loops (D, anti-codon, and T loops). Further hydrogen bonds mediate the characteristic L-shaped molecular structure. tRNAs have two regions of fundamental functional importance: the anti-codon, which is responsible for specific mRNA codon recognition, and the 3' end, to which the tRNAs corresponding amino acid is attached (by aminoacyl-tRNA synthetases). tRNAs cope with the degeneracy of the genetic code in two manners: having more than one tRNA (with a specific anti-codon) for a particular amino acid; and 'wobble' base-pairing, i.e. permitting non-standard base-pairing at the 3rd anti-codon position.
Source: Rfam by way of RNAcentral